RNAcentral lists this non-coding RNA (239 nucleotides) under Enterocloster asparagiformis. Its description in RNAcentral is "Clostridium asparagiforme T-box sequence". It matches the Rfam family "T-box leader". Rfam says of the family: Uncharged tRNA acts as the effector for transcription antitermination of genes in the T-box leader family. T-boxes are found upstream of many aminoacyl-tRNA synthetase genes and some amino acid biosynthetic genes usually in Gram-positive bacteria. The anticodon of a specific tRNA base pairs to a specifier sequence within the T-box motif, and the NCCA acceptor tail of the tRNA base pairs to a conserved bulge in the T-box antiterminator hairpin. The record is from RNAcentral. Lineage: Bacteria; Bacillati; Bacillota; Clostridia; Lachnospirales; Lachnospiraceae.
AUAAUGGCAGUGAUGAAGAGGAGUACGCGCACGCCGCCGGCAGAGAGGACGGUUCACAGGCUGAAAGGCCGUCCCGGAGAGGCGCAGCGGAAGGUAGCUUCGGAGCCGGAACACUCAGAAAGGGCGGCGCGGCCGCAGCCAUUUAGGUGUUCCCGGGCGGCCCCCGUUAAAAGCCCUAAUGAGGCCGGAAGCACAUUCCGGUGAACAAAGGUGGUACCGCGGUUUUGAUCGCCCUUUGC